RNAcentral lists this ribosomal RNA (455 nucleotides) under uncultured bacterium. Its description in RNAcentral is "bacterial SSU rRNA". It matches the Rfam family "Bacterial small subunit ribosomal RNA", at positions 340 to 786 of the family's 1533-position model. The record is from RNAcentral.
UACGGAAGCAGCAGUGGGGAAUAUUGCACAAUGGGCGAAAGCCUGAUGCAGCUAUGCCGCGUGUAUGAAGAAGGCCUUAGGGUUGUAAAGUACUUUCAUCGGGGAGGAAAAACAAAACUAAUAAUUUUAUUUCUUGACGUUACCCGAAAAAGAAGCACCGGCUAACUCCGUGCCAGCAGCCGCGGUAAUACGGAGGGUGCUAGCGUUAAUCAGAAUUACUGGGCGUAAAGAGCACGUAGGUGGUUUUUUUAAAGUCAGAUGUGAAAUCCCUGGGCUUAACCUAGGAACUGCAUUUUGAAACUGAAAUACUAGAGUAUCGUAGAGGGAGGUAGAAUUCUAGGUGUAGCGGUGAAAUGCGUAGAUAUCUGGAGGAAUACCUGUGGCGAAAGCGGCCUCCUAAACGAAUACUGACACUGAGGUGCGAAAGCGUGGGGAGCAAACAGGGAUUAGAUACC